GAGGCCACCCACCUCUUGAUGUAGCUGCUGAGGCGGUAGAGCUGCCCGUCGAGGCGCACGAGGCCGUCACCGAAGACGUUGAAGCCCCCCCGCGCCGCCGCCGGCUCCCCGGGCCUGGCCACCACGAGCUGGUCGCCGCUCAGCUGGAAGGCACCGGGCUGCAGGCGCAGCAGCUGAGCCAGCGGCAGCAGGGCCAGCUCGCAGUCGCAGGUCCACAGGCUGCGAAGCUCCCCAGACGAGAUGGAGGUCAGGCUCGGCCUGGCCACCGGCUCGCAGGCCGCCCCCGCCAUGCCCGCGUCGUCGGUCCUCACACCGCCUGCUUCCGUCCGGUGCCUACAGCCCCCAGCCGGCACCUGAUGGUCCCCAGGAGGGGCCGGGCGCCCUGCCUGCGUCAGCCGCGCGCGAGGUGCACACCUAUCCUUUCUCCAGACAUGGAUCUUUUACCCAUGGGAUCAUUACCCCAUCUCUGGGCCUCUCUGAACAAAUCUAAUUCACUGAGCAUGAAUUGAUCACUACCCACUCAACCUUUUGUGGCGCAGGAAGGAUGCUCUACCUGUGAAAAAAGCAUCCAGAAGAUCUUCUUGCAAAGGGAGGUUUGAGGAUCCCUGCAAAGAGAAUGGGUCUGGGGUGGGCUGAGACUGUAGACAGGACUCAGAGGCUGGGGCUGUUUUCACAGGGGAGGGAUUUGGUGCCAGCAGUUAAAUCCAUUGUGCCCUAUUUAGAACUUCACUCUUGUCCCAAACAUUGACAGAGUCAUCACUAUGCACCAGGGACCAUCUUAAGCUCUGAGGUCACACACACACACACACAAGGAUCCAAUAAGUGCUACCAUAGAUGUAUGGACUAAGCACUAUGAGAAAUAAGUGGUUCUGCCCCAAGAAGGGUGCUCAAAGGAGGUGACACAUGGCUAGACUUCCAAUACACAGGGGAGGCUCCCAGGGGAAGGAGCAGCAGCAAUAAGGAGAUGGGAGAGAAGAUUCUGUACCAUUCUAUGCAAAGAGAGAUGCUAUGGUUCCAUCUGGGGGAGGGGGGAAAUUUUUAAACAGCUAGGGCAGACCAUCCUAUUUGGGAUAAGAGGGGUCAGUUUUAUAUGAGAUGAGACCAGAAAGGGCUGUUGGAGCCAGAUUGUGACAGACCCUCUGAGUUGUCAGGAAUUUGGAUUCUUAAGACAAUGAGGAGCCUUGGGAUGUUUUAAAGAAAGGAAGUGAUAUAAUUAUGCCUCAGUUCAGAUAGACACCUUUGGUUAUGACCAAAGAAGAUGUUUUGAAACAGGAAGAUCAGAGGCAGAGAAACCAGUUAGGAGAUUGAUGUAAUAAUCCAGAUAACAUAUGAUGGGGGUCUGAACAGAAGCAGCUGUGGGAAUGGAGAUGAGGUUUCAACAUUUUUGAGUCAGAGUCAGCAGGAAGGAUCUUAUGAGUAAAUAAAUGAAAAAGAGCAGAGAGACCCACUUAGUCUCUUGCUUGGGUACCCAGAGAGAUGGUGACACCAUUAACGAAGCUAGGGUUCACAGGAGGAAGAGUAGGAGUUUGAGGAGAGAUAGUGAUGAGUUCAGGGGGGACAUACUGAUUUUGAGCUACUUAUGGAACAUCAAGGUAGAAAAGUCCAGGAGGCAAGGAGUUAGUUGGGUCUGGCGUUUUGGAAAGACAAGGUCAAUGAUUGAGAUUUGAAAGUCUCUAGAUCAAAGACGGGGUUGAAGCCAAAGAAGUGGAUGGGGGCAUCUAGCUAAUACAUGAUAGGGUAGGAAUUUGAACCCAGGCCUUUAGUUUACUUCAACAUAUGUUAAUUGAGCAUCUGCUAUGUUCAGUGCUUUGCUGGAGAUACAGAGUUGAAUAGAGGAUGGCCCCUGUCCUCAAAUAACAGGGAGAAAUGCAGGAAUCAGCAUGAACUAGUCUUCUGGCACCAUGUCCAAACAUGUGGCUGAAAUCUAGUUAUAUUUUGCCUGUGUCUCCAACCUGCUGGUGGAAUACAACCUCAACAACAAUAACAGCUGCAGAAGUUGCUUUCAAUUAGUAAGUCAAGGAGGGCAGGUCCACUACAGAGCCCUCACCAGCCCCUACUCUCCCCAUUCCACAUAGAUCGAACUCAACAACUCACCCUAUGAGCUUCACAUAGAUCAAGCUCAACAACUCUUGAUUGCCCUUAAACCUACACCACACUGUCUAUGAAUGAUUUGGCUUUCUUGAAGGGUAAAAUGUUACAUCGGGGUUUUAUAUCAGAAUUAUAUGCAUUUGUUUAAGAUAAACAUACCAGUCCCUCCUAUCAAAAAACCGUUUCCUGGGCAGGCACGGUGGCUCACACCUAUAAUUCCAGUAUUCUGGGAGGCCAAGGCAUGUGGAUCGCCUGAGGUCAGGAGUUCCAGACCAGCCUGGCCAACAUGGUGAAAUCCCAUCUCUACUAAAAAUACAAAAAUUAGCUGGGUAUGGUGUUGAAUGCCUGUAAUCCUAGCUACUUGGGAGGCUGAGGCAGGAGAAUCGCUUGAACCUGGGAGGCAGAGGUUGCAAUGAGCCAAGAUCGUGCCAUUGCACUCCAGCCUGGGUGACAAGAGUCAAACUCCAUCUCAAAAAAAAAAAUCCGUU
RNAcentral lists this long non-coding RNA (2576 nucleotides) under Homo sapiens (human). RNAcentral describes it as "PREDICTED lncRNA (TCONS_00069927)". The record is from RNAcentral. Lineage: Eukaryota; Metazoa; Chordata; Mammalia; Primates; Hominidae.